AUGAAUGUUGAUGCUGCAGCUCUAGCGGCUCAAGUUUCAAUCAAGCAUGGACUCCCGGAGAUUGAAAUAUACUGCUACCUGCUUGUGUUGAUUUUCCUUACAGAUCACAAGAAAUAUGAUGAGGUUAAAGCAUGUGCAAACGCUAGCAUUACUCGUUUGAAGAAUCUCAACAGGAGGACUGUUGAUGUUUUGGCUUCUAGGCUGUAUUCAUAUUACUCAUAUGUCCAUGAACUCACCAACAGCCUUGCUAAAAUUUGUGGGAGAUGUGUGCGGACGAUCACGUGUUGCAGCGGACGUUCAACUGCUACAUGUGCUCGACGGCGGCCGUCGUGUCAUCGGGUACGUACGUCCUUAUACAACUUCUUUUGCACGAGUUCUACUCGCUUCUUGCGCAUGUGCCCUGCCUGA
This 408-nucleotide ribosomal RNA is filed under the name Triticum aestivum (bread wheat). RNAcentral describes it as "partial small subunit ribosomal RNA". Lineage: Eukaryota; Viridiplantae; Streptophyta; Magnoliopsida; Poales; Poaceae. The record is from RNAcentral.